AUGUUCAGUAUCCAAAAGGAAUCAGCUUGGUGCUUCUUAAGAAAAAAUCUGUAUUGUAAAGGACUCAGCUUUGUCUUUUAUUACAUGAGAAAUGUCUGUUUGAUUGAUGUUCAGGUUUCUUGGCGACAGGGAAGAUAUUAUUUCGCCAUGAAUGAGACAGAUGUAGAGGAACAAAAGAAAGGAAAGUAUGUUCUGAUCCGUGAUGGUGGUGAUGAGGAGGGCAAUGAGUUAGGAGGACUCUUCUAUAAGCCUCUUCCUUGCUUUGGUCUUGGAAUCGGAUGGCUCUCGUUUCUACUUGGGUUCUUCUUCCCGUUUGCGUGGUACUUUGCCACAUUUCUAUACCUCACUAACUAUUACCGUAGGGAUCCACGCGAGAGAUCUGGUCUUGCUGCCUCUGCUAUUGCUGCUUUGAUAUUCACCGUUGCACUGUUGAUCACCGUGCUUGUUCUUGUUUUCUCGGGUCGCUAGAGUUGCUUGUAUAUUCUUUCUGGGGUGGGUUUUUAAAGAAAACAAAUUCAAGACUGUUUCCAGAACAAGUAAAAGUUUUAUAUUUGAUGAUGAAGAGAAUGUGAGGUUUCAAAGAGAAGACUUUGGUACCAUUGUCAUUGAGUUUCUUUGAGCUGGAGAAGUUGUCUUCUUUUGAGAACCAAGAAGACAACAACCAAGACCUGCAACAUUGCUGCUAACCCUGCAAAGACUACUCCAACCGUCUCCCCUUUGUUUAAUCCACCUCUCUUUGGUUCAUCUGGUGAUCCAAACCUCCGUGGCUCAGGAGGCGGUGGAAAGGAUUCUGACCUGGGCUGCGGAGGCUGCUGUUGAGGAGCAGGUGAAGGCAGAGGCACAAUUGUCUCUGCUACUGGAGGUGGUGGAAAAAUGUCUGUCACAUUGACAAGUGGCGGAGGUGCAGAAGGCG
Brassica oleracea var. oleracea is the source of this 913-nucleotide RNA transcript. It is a transcript of the gene named 60S ribosomal protein L18a-like protein, with no coding region annotated. The record is from RefSeq and is a predicted model, not a curated record. Lineage: Eukaryota; Viridiplantae; Streptophyta; Magnoliopsida; Brassicales; Brassicaceae. The transcript is spliced from 5 exons.